This 2958-nucleotide long non-coding RNA is filed under the name Sus scrofa (pig). RNAcentral describes it as "lncRNA (ENSSSCG00055002336.1)". Lineage: Eukaryota; Metazoa; Chordata; Mammalia; Artiodactyla; Suidae. The record is from RNAcentral.
AUGUCAUCGAUUAUGGAGAAGUCCUAAGAGUGCAGAGGCCCCCAGCCACGCUGGCCAGCUCCUCCGGGACUCUGCCAGAGGUGGAUUUCGCCAUCCCGCCAGGCAGGGGCAGGAGUCAGGAGUUGAUGCAGAGCCAGCCCCAGGAGCCCGUUAGCAUGCCUCAGACGCUGACCAGCACGCUGGAGCACAUCGUGGGCCAGCUGGACGUCCUCACCCAGACAGUCUCCAUCCUGGAGCAGCGGUUGACCCUGACAGAGGACAAGCUGAAGCAGUGUCUGGAGAACCAGCAGCUAAUCAUGCAGAGAACAACACCGUGAUCGGGGGAGCAAGAAUCAAGAGCUCGGUUGAUUUUGGGGGGUGGCAGGCCUUGGGGUUUGUACUGUGCGGCUUGGGCAAAUAAAUACAGGGGGUUCAGCUCUGGGAAGCACAUCCCUCCCCAAGUCCCAGGGGUCCAGCGUUCUGCCCCCCAUCCAGAAGGAGGUGGGAGGGGCCAUAGGUAGGGCCCACACAGGCACAGCUGGCCACUUUUGGUUUAAUGUGCAGCAGCCACUUGAAAAUGGUUGCUCCCUUGGAAUCCUGAGGAGCCCUAGGAUGGCAGCGCCCGUCUCCACUGGGACUGGUCAACCUUUCUACCGUAUGACUGGUUUUUCCUACCCAUCCCAGCGUAGAAAUGGACUGCUUAUUGGUUGGAUGAGCCAGGGGUUUCCUCGUAGUCUGACGGAAAGCCCACCUGAGUCUGAUUUAUCCAUUAACAAGCACUGGGUAGGGGCAGGGGGGUAGUGGCUUUGCAGUGGUCUUGAUUUCUAUCCCACACAUGUUCACUGGGGCGUGGUGGCUUCCUCAGCAUGCAUAAGGGCAAAGGAAUCUGAACAUUAAAACAAACUUUAUGGAGCUUAUCGUCAGAAUGGCUUGCUGUGAAUGAGACCUCCCCAGGGCCCGUAAAGGGGAAUGAAAAUGGCAACUUGGGAAGGCCCCUGCUGCGAUCACCUCUGAAGCCCAGCACACGGUGUUUGCAGGGAUCUUGCGGAGCACGGACAGUGGGAGCUCCUGCAGACACCCCCUCCCUCUGGCUAGCCUGGCUGGUUGCCUCACCUGGUACCUGAAGGCCGCCUCCUUUCCACUUGCGUGAGGGUUCCAUGGGCUGCUUCCCCCACAUCUUUGCCAAAAGGCCGAGCAAGUGUCCCGUGUCUCUGGGUGUCCUCCAUGCCUUCUUGGGGCCCAGCCAGCCAGGGAGGUAUUUACCCUGCCAUACACCUGCUGGCCCAGGUGCUGCGGGGUGGGGACGGGGGGGGGGGGGGGGGGGGGGGGGGGGCGGGUGUUAGAUCUUCCCGAGAGCUGGCAGCUCCAGGCAGCAAGUGAGGUUCCCAGCCUCUGCGGCUGCCCGGUUCUGAGCAGAGCCAGAACACCUAAGCUUGGGCUGACAAGAGGUAGCCCGAGUUGAGUCCCAAUCAACAAGCCUCGGGAAGCCGCCCCUUCCAGCCGAGUGGUAGGGAAGCUGCAGUCUGGGGUCAGGCCUCAGGAGCUGCCUUUGGUCUUCUGGUAGGACUUUGACAUGGUGACAUAACCUCUCUGAGCCUCAGGUUUGUGGGUCGGGUGGUGGUAGUAACCACCCCACCAGGUGGAGAUGAGGUCAGUGUUGCAGCUGGUGCUAAAUGGAGGUUCCUGGCUCCUCAGCUCCACCAUUCCGUCUAGGACGCUGGGGCCUGCAUAGGUGGGGAAGAGGCUGCUGGCUCAGGAUGUUCUGGAGGUCUCCAGGGACCUGCUCCCGUCCUCCCACGUGGUCCUGCUGUGUAGAAGAGCCUGGAAAGCCUGCUGGUCUAAAUUGUCAGGCAUCGAAUCUCGGGAGGUCUUGCUGCAGUGCUGCGGUCUUGUGGGAAGAGAACCCCGCUCCUUUGCGACACAGUCCUGAAGCCCGGGAUGAAACCCUUCAGGUAGACUAUCCUUCGCAUGGACAGUGAGAGCGGGGGGAGAUGGGCGCGAGGACUGCCCCAGGGCCCCUCUUCGAGCCUUCCAGUCAGCGGAAAGCUCAAAUCCCGCCGGUUCCAGAAGUCCCCCCUUCGGCAGAUCUCAAGCACCACCAUCCCUCACCUCUGACCCUGGCUCCCUUCCGCACGGUGUAGAGACAGGGUGGCUAUGAGCUGAUCAGCCUCGGGCUGAGUGGGAGAGGUAAGCUCCAAGGAGGUGGGGGCACUCCGUCGGGCAGGGAAGGGACCCGAUGGAUCCAAGAGCCCAGCCGCGAGCUCCUUCCCGCGGCAGGCAACGCUGGCUCCUUAGGGAAAGUGCGGCAGGCCCUGCGCACGCGCGCCGCUCGAGUCGAGCCGCUUUGUUCCAGCGCUACCUGCGGCUCCAUUCACCUCCUUAACCAUACCAGCCUGUGAGCCAAGACACAGCGCUCGCUGAGAUCCCGCCCACUUCCCGCGCUGGGUGGAACUUUCCACUGGCCCCACCUCCCUCCUCCACCCUCCGCCGCCGUCUUCUUCGGCUGCAAUUGGCCAUCUGCCUGGCGCACUCCCGCCUACCACGAAAGUUGAUUGGUACGUUGGGGAGGAGGGGGAGGAGAGUGCGCCCCCUCCCACCAGCUCCUGAGGAAAAGUCACGUGACGCUUCACUCGGAGCCUGUCACCACCCGCUUGCAAAGCUUCUCUUAAAGAGCCCAAUGUCUUCCCAGAGCUAGUCCUUUCUAGGAUUUCUCCAUACCUACCCUCGGAGGGCGGCAAGGCCUUGGGACGUCCUACUCCGCCAGUAGCCCAUGUGCUGAUUCCUCAUCAGUCCUGCUGGGGUGAGACACAGGUUUCUGAGCCUGGGGCCCUCCUUAGGACCCGAAACGGUGACCGCCUAAGCACAAAAGGCCUGGCACAUAGUAGGAGUUCAGUUUCCAUCUGUUGAAUGAACUCUCUGAGAGAAUCAGUGAAUGAGGUGGACAGGAGGAGGGGACUUUGGCUCAGUUUGGUCGUCCCU